GGGAAAGAGCUUGCUCUUUCCGGAAUUGAGUGGCAAACGGGUGAGUAACACGUAAACAACCUGCCUUCAGGAUGGGGACAACAGACGGAAACGACUGCUAAUACCGAAUAAGUUCCAAGAGCCGCAUGGCCCAUGGAAGAAAAGGUGGCCUCUACCUGUAAGCUAUCGCCUGAAGAGGGGUUUGCGUCUGAUUAGCUGGUUGGAGGGGUAACGGCCCACCAAGGCGACGAUCAGUAGCCGGUCUGAGAGGAUGAACGGCCACACUGGAACUGAGACACGGUCCAGACUCCUACGGGAGGCAGCAGUGGGGAAUCUUCCGCAAUGGGCGAAAGCCUGACGGAGCAACGCCGCGUGAGUGAUGACGGCCUUCGGGUUGUAAAACUCUGUGAUCCGGGACGAAAAGGCAGAGUGCGAAGAACAAACUGCAUUGACGGUACCGGAAAAGCAAGCCGCGGCUAACUACGUGCCAGCAGCCGCGGUAAUACGUAGGUGGCAAGCGUUGUCCGGAAUUAUUGGGCGUAAAGCGCGCGCAGGCGGCUUCCCAAGUCCCUCUUAAAAGUGCGGGGCUUAACCCCGUGAUGGGAAGGAAACUGGGAAGCUGGAGUAUCGGAGAGGAAAGUGGAAUUCCUAGUGUAGCGGUGAAAUGCGUAGAGAUUAGGAAGAACACCGGUGGCGAAGGCGACUUUCUGGACGAAAACUGACGCUGAGGCGCGAAAGCGUGGGGAGCAAACAGGAUUAGAUACCCUGGUAGUCCACGCCGUANACGAUGGAUACUAGGUGUAGGAGGUANCGACCCCUCC
Molecule: ribosomal RNA, 800 nt
Filed under: uncultured bacterium
Lineage: Bacteria
Description: bacterial SSU rRNA
Rfam family: Bacterial small subunit ribosomal RNA
Source: RNAcentral